CCUACGGGAGGCAGCAGUGGGGAAUCUUGCGCAAUGCGCGAAAGCGUGACGCAGCAACACCGCGUGAGCGAUGAAGGCCUUCGGGUUGUAAAGCUCUGUCCUCAAGGAAGAUAAUGACGGUACUUGAGGAGGAAGCCCCGGCUAACUACGUGCCAGCAGCCGCGGUAAU
Molecule: ribosomal RNA, 169 nt
Filed under: uncultured Clostridium sp.
Lineage: Bacteria; Bacillati; Bacillota; Clostridia; Eubacteriales; Clostridiaceae
Description: partial 16S ribosomal RNA
Rfam family: Bacterial small subunit ribosomal RNA
Source: RNAcentral